AGUUUUUUCCUCUAAACAACCACUUUAGCUAUACACCUGACUUUACUAAUAUGCAGUCCAGGACUGAUAAUAAUGAAGGGUCUGGAUUAACCCCUGUGGACCCAUUUCAAAUCCCCAAUAAUGAUGAUACAGCCAUAAUGGCCUCUGAAGAAUUCCAGAAUAUACUGGACACUACCAUGGCGGCAUCUAUAAAUAAAGCGCUGGCCUCUGCC
Molecule: non-coding RNA, 212 nt
Organism: Pelobates cultripes (western spadefoot toad)
Lineage: Eukaryota; Metazoa; Chordata; Amphibia; Anura; Pelobatidae
Source: the annotation of a GenBank genome assembly